UUUAAAAUUUUAAUUUUAAUAUCAACAAACCAAAAUAAUUUAAAAAUAUUUAAAUUUUAAACAAACACUAUUUUAUCCGCACUGCGAAAGACCCUGGCCUGCUCAAGCCUCUUCUUUAAAAGAAGCUUUGAUCAUAGCCAAAUCCAUCUCCAUCAACUUCAAAAGUCUAAACAACUCAGUCACCAUUCUAUCCUCCAAUUUCCCUUCAUCUCUCAAAACCUCAGCCUCUUCUCUUGUUCUCUCUGCCACUAUUUCACCCGCCUUAGCCAAAAGCGCAGUUGAACCGAACUCUUUAUCCAUUAACCCCACCAACUUGUCCACAAAGUCCAUUAUCACAUACCCUACUGGCUCCUCUAGCUUUAUCUCUUUACUUCUUUUCCACCCCACUUCAUAGUUUGGUGGUUCACCGUUCACGAGGUCUGUUUUAGCCUUUCUUUCCCGGAUUAUUUGAGAUCGUCUUCGCUUCUCGAUAUGGUAGUCUGAGUUGUUCGAGGUUAUGUGGAAGGUGGAGCUGGGAAUGAGGAAGAUUAAUUGCCAUCAUCAAGUUCUGUUGGAGCUGACUUUGAGGGGUUUGAUCUUUCUUGACUGGUAAUAAUGAUGGGUUUGUGGAGGUUUGGCUGGUAGAUGAUUUUAGUAGUGAAAGAGAGUGGAAGCCAUAAGUGCUCUUGAGCUAAGUGAAAGGAAGAAGAUAAGGCCAGCUAUUAGUAAUUUGCCAAUGGUCCCUAUUGUUGAAGUGAGCAAUGAAAGAAGAUUUUUGCAAAAUAUCCCAAUGUGAUAAAUAGUAAUUUUACAUUUUUUUUCCACUUUUCUUUAAAUAAGUAAAUAUUUGUCACCAUACAUUAUGGUUCAUGAUGAC
Molecule: long non-coding RNA, 856 nt
Filed under: Populus trichocarpa (black cottonwood)
Lineage: Eukaryota; Viridiplantae; Streptophyta; Magnoliopsida; Malpighiales; Salicaceae
Description: long non-coding RNA (PTRI_LNC004751)
Source: RNAcentral